This 494-nucleotide ribosomal RNA is filed under the name uncultured bacterium. RNAcentral's name for it is "partial 16S ribosomal RNA". It matches the Rfam family "Bacterial small subunit ribosomal RNA", at positions 29 to 507 of the family's 1533-position model. The record is from RNAcentral.
ACGAACGCUGGCGGCGUGCCUAAUACAUGCAAGUAGAACGCUGAAGGAGGAGCUUGCUUCUCUGGAUGAGUUGCGAACGGGUGAGUAACGCGUAGGUAACCUGCCUGGUAGCGGGGGAUAACUAUUGGAAACGAUAGCUAAUACCGCAUAAUAGUAGAUGUUGCAUGACAUUUGCUUAAAAGGUGCAAUUGCAUCACUACCAGAUGGACCUGCGUUGUAUUAGCUAGUUGGUGGGGUAACGGCUCACCAAGGCGACGAUACAUAGCCGACCUGAGAGGGUGAUCGGCCACACUGGGACUGAGACACGGCCCAGACUCCUACGGGAGGCAGCAGUAGGGAAUCUUCGGCAAUGGACGGAAGUCUGACCGAGCAACGCCGCGUGAGUGAAGAAGGUUUUCGGAUCGUAAAGCUCUGUUGUAAGAGAAGAACGAGUGUGAGAGUGGAAAGUUCACACUGUGACGGUGUCUUACCAGAAGGGGACGGCUAACUACGUG